This 223-nucleotide unclassified non-coding RNA is filed under the name plant metagenome. Its description in RNAcentral is "partial contains small subunit ribosomal RNA, internal transcribed spacer 1, and 5.8S ribosomal RNA". The record is from RNAcentral.
UAUCCGUAGGUGAACCUGCGGAAGGAUCAUUAUCAUGUAAUUCAGUCCCCUUGGCUGUGUUAUAUAUAUACCCACUCUGUGUACCUUCUCCUGUUGCUUCCGCUGGGUGUGUAAUUCGCCCGGCGGAAGGGUAAAAAUAACCUCUGAGUAUUGAUGAAAUCUCUGUCUGAACCGAAUAGAAAGAAAAAUGUUAAAACUUUCAGCAACGGAUCUCUUGGUUCUC